GCNCGUUACGAAUUCGCCCUUAGAGUUUGAUCAUGGCUCAGGAUGAACGCUAGCGACAGGCCUAACACAUGCAAGUCGAGGGGCAUCGGGACGUAGCAAUACGUUGCCGGCGACCGGCGGAUGGGUGAGUAACGCGUAUGCAACCUACCCGUAGCAGGGGGAUAGCCCGUUGAAAGACGGAUUAAUACCCCGUAACACAGGGGCUCCGCAUGGAGAUUAUUGUUAAAGGGUCAUUUCUUUUUCAGGGAUGGUCCGGCUGCGGAUGGGCAUGCGUUCCAUUAGGUAGUUGGUGUAGGUAACGGCUCACCAAGCCGACGAUGGAUAGGGGAACUGAGAGGUUGGUCCCCCACACUGGUACUGAGACACGGACCAGACUCCUACGGGAGGCAGCAGUGAGGAAUCUUGGUCAAUGGACGCAAGUCUGAACCAGCCAUGUCGCGUGAAGGAGGACGGCCCUAAGGGUUGUAAACUUCUUUUGCAGUGGAAUAAAGUUUGCCACGUGUUGGCGAUUUGCAAGUACGCUGCGAAUAAGGAUCGGCUAACUCCGUGCCAGCAGCCGCGGUAAUACGGAGGAUCCGGGCGUUAUCCGGAUUUAUUGGGUUUAAAGGGUGCGCAGGCGGGGAAUUAGGUCGGCGGUGAAAUUUCGGGGCUCAACCUCGACAGUGCCGUUGAAACCGUUUCUCUUGAGUGCGGAUGAGGUAGGCGGAAUUUGUGGUGUAGCGGUGAAAUGCGUAGAUAUCACAAGGAACACCGAUUGCGGAGGCAGCUUACUAAACCGUUACUGACGCUCAUGCACGAAGGCGUGGGGAUCAAACAGGAUUAGAUACCCUGGUAGUCCACGCAGUAAACG
Molecule: ribosomal RNA, 850 nt
Filed under: uncultured bacterium
Lineage: Bacteria
Description: bacterial SSU rRNA
Rfam family: Bacterial small subunit ribosomal RNA
Source: RNAcentral